This 3518-nucleotide long non-coding RNA is filed under the name Papio anubis (olive baboon). RNAcentral describes it as "lncRNA (ENSPANG00000050669.1)". The record is from RNAcentral. Lineage: Eukaryota; Metazoa; Chordata; Mammalia; Primates; Cercopithecidae.
GGAUGAAGAAAAUGUGGUACAUAUACUCCAUGGAAUACUGUGCAGUCAUUAAAAAAAACAAGAUCAUGUCCUUUGCAGGAACAUGGAUGGAGCUGGAAGCCAUAAUCCUCAGCAAACUAAUGCAGGAACAGGAAACCAAAUACUGUAUAUUCUCACUUAAACGCCGGCUUGAAGGGCUGGGCUGUCAAGCUUUGAUACGCAAAUGCAAGCCAUUCGAAACUGGGUUCACCCAAUAUGGUGAUUCCUGCCCUCUUCUUACCACCAUCUGCGCCAAGUGUGAUGGUCACCUCCAGAUAACACCAUGUGUUCAAAACAUCGACGACCCACAUUUGCGUAUUAACGGACUAAGUUAGGAGGGCCAGGUUUUUGGCAAGCUACGUGAAUGACACACCUGGUCGAACCAAUCCUCUGGGCCCUAUGCAAACAAGACACCCCCUCCCCCAGCCUCCUGAUAUAAUGAACUACCUUUCUGUCACACACGGGUUUCUCUUUGUUCCAAGUCCCCCGCUCUUGCCUCUGUAUGGGAGAGCUGUUCUCUUCCUUCUUCCUUCUUUCUUGCCUAUUAAACUUUUCGCUCCUUAAAACCACUCCACGUGUGUCUACGUUGUUAAUCCUAUCCGCACGAGACCAAGGACCGUGGUGUUCCUUCAGUCAUCAGAGCCAUAUCAUUUAGGUGCAUGGGCCUGGAAUUCGUCCAUCAGAGUGGUGACUAUGGAGUGAAUCUCAACUUCAAAUCUGUUUUAAUCUCAAGGCUGUCUUCCAGCUAUCCUGUCGCAAAACUUUCCUUCUUUCCUUCUUUCUCUAUCUGCAGUCUCUUACUCCCUGUGUGUUGAGUAUGUGGGAAUUUUUACAGCCCAGGCAAGUAAUCCUGUUAGGCAAGAUCAGGAAAUGCUAUAGUACUGGGGAAAUAGCUCAGGGAAUGAAUGGAAAAGGAAGUGUUUUUAAUAUGCAGUUUAGAAGCCCUACGGAAAACGAAGGCCAAACCUCUCAAUUACUCUUAACUGUCUAGAAUAGAUCAAAAGCCAGGUGCGAAUCAUGAAGCCUUUAUGGAAAGGCUGAGAGAGGCACUAAUAGAACACACCUCUUUAUCCCCUGAUCCAGUCAAGGGACAGCUUAUCCUGAAGGACAAGUUUAUUACACAGGCAACUCCCAAUAUUAGAAGAAAACUACAGAAGCAAGCUGUAGGACUGAAUAGCACUUUAGAGAACCUCCUGAAGGUGGCCACUUCAGUCUCAUAAUAGGGACCACGAGGAGGCCCAAAAGAAAGAGAGAAAGCUCAGGAGAAGGACAGAGGCUGUAGCAGAAGCUUUGCAGGCUUGCAAAGUCCAGGACCCCCGAGGUACAUCCGCUAGUUGCUAUUGGUGUGGCAGACUAGGGCAUUUUAUUUUAUUUUUUAUGUAUUUUUUUAUUACACUUUAAGUUCUAGGGUACAUGUGCACAACGUGCAGGUGUGUUACAUAUGUAUCCAUGUGCCAGGUUGGUGUGCUGCACCCAUUAAUGUGUCAUUUACAUUAGGUAUAUCUCCUAAUGCUCUCCCUCCCCUCUCCCCUCUCCCCACAACAGGCCCCGCUGUGUGAUGUUCCCCUUCCUGUGUCCAAGUGAUCUCAUUGUUCAAUUCCCACCUAUGAGUGAGAACAUGCGGUGUUUGGUUUUUUGUCCUUCCAAUAGUUUGCUGAGAAUGAUGGUUUCCAGCUUCAUCCAUGUCCCUACAAAGGACAUGAACUCAUCCUUUUUUAUGGCUGCGUAGUAUUCCAUGGUAUAUAUGUGCCACAUUUUCUUAAUUCAGUCUAUCAUUGAUGGACUUUUUUUGGGUUGGUUCCAAGUCUUUGCUAUCGUGAAUAGUGCUGCAAUAAGCAUAUGUGCAUGUGUCUUUAUAGCAGCAUGAUUUGUGAUCCUUUGGGUAUAUACCCAGUAAUGGGAUCACUGGGUCAAACGGUAUUUCUAGUUCUAGAUCCUUGAGGAAUCGCCACACUGUCUUCCACAAUGGUUGAACUAGUUUACAGUCCCACCAACAGUGUAAAAGUGUUCCUAUUUCUCCCAGGUCUCCCCUCUUCCUAUAGCCUGAUCGUAAUUGGCAUCUCAGGAAAAAUCCUAAUCCAAUGUUUUUCUCCACUUUGGUUGUAGUUAGGAGGACCUAUUUACAACAUGCUUCCAAGCCAUUGUCACGAUAGCUCUAUUAGUCAGAAAAGCCUCCAAGUUAACCCCAGGACAUAAUUGAACUGUUUACACCCCAUAUAAUGUGGCAGGAUCACCGUUCUCUGGUGGGAGCUCUUAGCUAGCAAACAGCCCGGCAAAGCAAGAAGUACGUAAGGCAGGAUAAGCAGUAGUCACUGUCCCCAAACAUAAGCACUCAAUUAGCUGAGCUAAUAGCUCUUACAAAAGCACUUAAAUUAAGCAAGGGAAAGGUAACUAACAUUUAUACUGGCUCCAAGUAUGCCUUCCUGAUUUUCCAUGCUCAUGCUGCCAUUGAAAAGGAAAAGAAUUUUCUUACCACUCAUGGAUCUACUAUAAAAUAUCACUAGGAAACUAGCAGAUUAUUAUCCUCAGUUUUUCUUGCAUGACAGAUAGCAGGGAUGCAUUAUAGUGAACAUUGAAAGGGAACAGAUGAGGUAGCCAAAGAAAAUAGAUGAGCUGAUCAGCCAGCUAAGUCAAAGGCGAGGAAGCCUCAAGGCACUAACACACUUCAAGCCCUUCUAAUCUAGGAGGUCUCCAUAAAAGAAAUUAAACCUCAGUAUUCCCCUGCAGAAAUAGAAUAGGCCACUUCUCAAGGGCAUACUUUUCAGCUCUCAGGAUGGCAAACUCUAUUUGCCAGCCUCCAGCCAAUGAAGGUCCUUAAAAUCCUUCACUGAGCUUUUCACUGGAGAAAGGAUAAAACUUAUCAGUGUGCUCAGAGAUUGUUUGCCGGCAGAAAACCUCUACAUUGGUUAAGCAUGUAACCUCUCUAGCUCACUUCCAACAAGAAUGAACACAACUAGCAGAAGCCCAAGCCCAGGAAAUAAAACCACCUUUCCUUAACCCAGGAAAUUUGGUAUUAGUGAAAAUUCUCCUCUCUCUCCUUCCAUAAGCCAACCUGGGAAGGGACCGCCACUGUUCUUCUUUCAAUCUUCUCAGCAGUAAAAGUUAUAGGAAUCAGCUCCUGGAUACAUCACACUCAAUUCAAAGCCUGAAGGGCUGAGGGAGCAACCCUUGUCAGCCCAGAGGAACACCCUGAAUAUCAAUGUGAAGAAGUAGAAGAUCUUAAGCUAAACACCAUAAAAGAUAAGAAACUGAGUGAAGGACUAUUCAUCUUCCUGAGUCCCACCUUUACCUCAACAGAUACUUUUUGUCAUUUCUGUCCUUUCAUCUCAAAAUUUGCCACCAAAUAUUAGAACUUCUUCUUAAUGCAUAUUUGCAGGGAGAUUUAAUUAUUCAUAGAAUCGCAUCUGUAACUUUGUAAAUCUCCAAAGGGAAAUAUUAUAUCUGGGCAAGUAGAGUUUUAAAUGACAAUUAUUUACCAUGCCACUCUUGGGAAAAUUGUU